RNAcentral lists this ribosomal RNA (521 nucleotides) under Staphylococcus intermedius. RNAcentral describes it as "bacterial SSU rRNA". It matches the Rfam family "Bacterial small subunit ribosomal RNA", at positions 45 to 548 of the family's 1533-position model. Lineage: Bacteria; Bacillati; Bacillota; Bacilli; Caryophanales; Staphylococcaceae. The record is from RNAcentral.
UGCCUAAUACAUGCAAGUCGAGCGAACAGAUAAGGAGCUUGCUCCUUUGACGUUAGCGGCGGACGGGUGAGUAACACGUGGGUAACCUACCUAUAAGACUGGAAUAACUCCGGGAAACCGGGGCUAAUGCCGGAUAACAUGUUGAACCGCAUGGUUCUACAGUGAAAGACGGUCUUGCUGUCACUUAUAGAUGGACCCGCGCCGUAUUAGCUAGUUGGUGGGGUAACGGCCUACCAAGGCGACGAUACGUAGCCGACCUGAGAGGGUGAUCGGCCACACUGGAACUGAGACACGGUCCAGACUCCUACGGGAGGCAGCAGUAGGGAAUCUUCCGCAAUGGGCGAAAGCCUGACGGAGCAACGCCGCGUGAGUGAUGAAGGUCUUCGGAUCGUAAAGCUCUGUUGUUAGGGAAGAACAAAUGUGUAAGUAACUGUGCACAUCUUGACGGUACCUAACCAGAAAGCCACGGCUAACUACGUGCCAGCAGCCGCGGUAAUACGUAGGUGGCAAGCGUUAUCCGG